This 440-nucleotide ribosomal RNA is filed under the name uncultured bacterium. RNAcentral's name for it is "partial 16S ribosomal RNA". It matches the Rfam family "Bacterial small subunit ribosomal RNA", at positions 338 to 795 of the family's 1533-position model. The record is from RNAcentral.
CCUACGGGUGGCAGCAGUGGGGAAUAUUGCACAAUGGGGGAAACCCUGAUGCAGCGACGCCGCGUGAGUGAAGAAGUAAUUCGUUAUGUAAAGCUCUAUCAGCAGGGAAGAAAAGGACGGUACCUGAGUAAGAAGCCCCGGCGAACGACGUGCCAGCAGCCGCGGUAAUACGUAGGGGGCAAGCGUUAUCCGGAUUUACGGGGUGUAAAGGGAGCGUAGACGGCAGUGCAAGUCUGGAGUGAAAGGCGGGGGCUCACCCCCCGGACUGCUCUGGAAACUGUACGGCUGGAGUGCAGGAGAGGUAAGUGGAAUUCCUCGUGUAGCGGUGAAAUGCGUAGAUAUUAGGCGGAACACCAGUGGCGACGGCGGCUUACUGGACUGUACCUGCCGUUGAGGCUCGCCAGCGUGGGGAGCACACAGGAUUAGAUCCCCGAGUAGUC